AUCAUAAGGAUAUUUCGGAUAAUGUGGGCAGCACCGAAUUCUUACUUCUCUGAUUGCUCUUUGGGGGCAGAAACUGCCUGCACAGGGUUUAGAAGCUGACCAGGUUCGAAAGAGAUCUUGGGAUGCCCCGAUGCCAAAACAUCUGAAUCAAGUCUAAGAGGGGUGGCCCGUCCUGCACAUGUGACAGCUACAGCCAUGGCCUUCAGAUUGUUCAGGCCAGACCUGGGAGAUGCCAGGCCCCACAGAUCUAUUAGCCUCUUUUGACAAUGGAAAGAAAAGGAGGCAGGAAGGAAGGAAAGAAGGAAGGCAUAGGUAUAUGCGCGCGCGCGUGCGCGCGUGUGUGUGUGUGUGUAAAUGUAUCUGUACAUACAUAUUCAUAUACUUAUUUUUCCUGAGUGAAUAACCGUGACAAUGGCUAUACUUUUAAAGAUAUUCAUUUCUGGAGUUCCUGUCGUGGUGCAGCAGAAACGAAUCCAACUAGGAACCAUGAGGUUGCGGGUUUGAUUCCUGGCCUUGCUCAAUGGGUUAAGGAUCUGGCGUUGCCGUGAGCUGUGGUGUAGGUCGCAGACACGGCUCAGAGGAGGGCUUGCUGUGGCUGUGACACAGGCUGGCAGCUGUAGCUCCAAACAGACCCCUAGCCUGGGAACCUCCAUAUGCCACGGGUGUGGCCCUCGAAAGCAAAAAUAAAAUAAAAUAAAAAAUAAAAUAAAAACAUUCGUUUCUUUGUACUUUCAAAUAUAAAUUCCUAUCUUCCCAGAGAGUAUAAUUAAAAACGCAAACCAGACACAUGUGUUUGAAGGACAAAUUCUGGGUGGACUCUUGGACUAACUGAAAGGUGGCCUGGUGUCCCCGUGGUCUGCAGAGCACACUGCAUAGUCCCUCCUGCCUUGACCCCAACCCAGGGUGGAGAAUGAAGCUUCUGUGGUGAUUAUCUUGGUUAGAGACACCCCUGCUUGGCCUGUCAUUGAGAUCUUGGCUGUUGCUACUCAGACAACCCAGAUGCUAAGGCCAGCGCUUCACCUCUCUGCCCAAGUACGCAAGUGCUCCUGGAAAGAAGCCAGUCUGGGCUGGGGGGUACAAGAGCCAAGUCAAGUCAAUAUCAAGGUGACCUGGAAAAGUUAUAAUCGAAUCUACUUCUUACCUCUCUAAACCGUGGGUGGCAUCAUUGACAUUCUUGGCAGGUCCCAUAGCCCAUUUGAUGUCUUUUCCUCUUUCUAUUGUUCUCACAUCUUUCUGUGGCCUCCACUUUCCCCUGUAUGCCUCUGGCCUUUCCAUUUGCCCAACCCGGAGUUCCUGUCAUGGCACAGCGGAAACGAAUCUGACCAGUAAUCAUGAGGUUGCGGGUUCGAUCCCUGGUCUUGCUCAGUGGGUUAAGGAUCCAGCAUUGCCAUGAGCUGUGAUAUAGGUCACAGAUGUGGCUUAGAUCUGGCAUUGCUCUGGGCGUGGCAUAGGCUGGCAGCUACAGUUCUGAUUGGACCCCUAGCCUGGGAGCGUCCAUAUGCUACAGGUGUGGCCCUAAAAAGACCAAAAAACUGGCAACUUUUUUUUAUGCCACAGCCACAGCCAUGCUGGAUCCAGGCGACACCUACAACCCAUGUCACAGCUUGUGGCAACACCAGAUCAUUAACCUACUGAAUGAGGCCAGGAAUUAAACCUGCAUCUUCACAGGCACUAUGUCAGGUUCUUAACCUGCUGAGCCGCAGGGGGAACUCCUCUCACCAGUCAGUUCUUGCGAGGUCAAAUUAAGUUGGGAAAAGACUGGACUCCAUUCAGGUGAGAGGAUUAUGCAUGAAUUAUCAGGGUCUGGGCCUCCGAUUUGUUCAGAUCAUGGUGAUCCUUCAUUCCGUGACUCAGUUCCAAUUCAUGGGUAGUGUCCAGAAGCCCCCUCAAUACUCCUAACUCUAAUCACUUCCAUUUAUAGGGCAUCACUAUAUGCCAGGUGCUUUAUACAGGAUUUGAUGAGAAAUGUAAUCUCAGAAAGGUUAAGUCACCUGCCCAAGGUCGCUUAGCCAGGUUUGAACCCUGGCUGUGCGUUUCCCCAUCUGCUAGGCUUUAGCAGUUCCAAAUCAUGCCUCCUGGGUUAAAUGAACAACAGAUAACCAUGGAAACAAACAAAAAAAAUUUCUGAAAUAGUUUCUCGUCCUCCAGAUAUAGCAGGGCCGCUCUGUGAGGCACUUCUGUCUACACCAGCUGAUCCAGGGCAUGUGCACUCAGUAUUUUCAGCUCCCUGAAUUCAGCUUUACUGGCAGCCCCUGUGAUUUUUCAGCAUAAUGACCAGCCUCACCACCACGAGUCCAGCCCUUUCCCAAGGCUGAAAAUACACCCAGAGUUCGGGCACCUGGUUCCGAGGGGAGUCUUUGAGUUCCCGCUUCCCCAGGCAGCGUCUGGCUAUCUCAUGUGGCUCGGCUAACACGGAACUGAGAAGUAUCUAGAGAUUAAUCUUCAGAGCCCCUCCUCUCCCUGAGCAGCCCCCCUAAGCACUGCUUUUCUGGUUCUCUCCUGGUUUGAUAAAGCAUCCCAGCGGUGCUUUUGUGUUUUAAAAGAUGUUAUGUGCAGAGGACUGCGCUUAACACCAUGUGCUCUAAUGGUGGACUCGAGGCAUUUCAGUGGCAGGAUAAUUGGGGAGGGGGAAAACAGAGCCUUCCCAGGGGCUUUAAAGUGCAUCACUGCAUAAGGCUGAUCCUGCAUCUCAUUAUCCAUUCACUUCAGAUGAAAGCUAUAAAUUUGGAUCCCUUUAUUCUGAUAUUUGAAGCUAAGCAGAGACUGGGCUGACUUCUCUAUUUUUACCUGGCCGCUGGCCUCCUGCAGACACUCUCCCCGCCGCCACCCCCAGGAGCAGAGUCCUUAAGGGAGAGCGUUCCCCAUGGUGUGCCUGCAGGGGCCCCGUGGGAAGGGUUGAGUUGUCAGAUGAGGAGACACCCCAGCGAACACCCCUGCUCCUCCAACCCCCACCAACUCUGGAAUGAAGAUGGAGAGUUUUCUGUGCCUGGUUUGGUUCACAGAGACACAUAGUCCAUCAUUUGAUUUGCUACAAAGAGUAUUCCUUCCCUGCCCCCCAGCAUCCUCUGGUUUUUGCUUAGAGUCUCAGAGCUGGGGGGAAUCUUAGUGAUAACCUAAUCACUUUUUCGUAAAAGAGGGGAAACUGAGGCUCAGACAGAGACCAGGACCCAGGCAUUCUGAUCCCCAAAUCAGUAUUCUUCCCGACACCACUCGGCAAUCUGGCUGUCUUUGCAUUUCAGCCGGACACUUGUGGAAUUGCUUCCUCCAAAACCCAGCUUGCUUUCCAUGGCAGAGAACAUAGGUACCAACGAUCAUGGUAAUGUGGACCCUCAUGCCUGGCAGUGCCUGCUUUUGGGUACAUGCCUUGUCAUAGCCACACUAUGCUCCACGAUCCUCCAGGGGCCCACCUGUGAUUUCUGUGAAAUGAGAGGGCCUCUCUAUUAAACCAGGGAAGACGCUAUUUCUGUGCUGCAUUACAGGUCACCUCACCUCAAUCCACUCCCUAAAACUGGCCAAGACCUGGAGAGGGGCUGAAGAUCUCAGGUAAGCACACCUUUUUUUUUGCCUCUGACAUCCUACCUCCAGCCACAGAUGAGAGAAAAAGGCUAACUUUUUUGUUUUGGUUUAGUUUUUUAAGGUUGUUCCUGUGGCAUACGGAAAUUCCCAGGCUAGGGGCUGAAUCGGAGCUACAGCAGCCGGUCUACACCACAACUCAUGGCAACGCUGGAUCUUUAACCCACUGAGUGAGGCCAGAGAUUGAACCCGAGUUCUCAUGGAUACUGGUCGGGUCUGUUACCACUGAGCCAUGACAGGAACUCCGGAGGCUGUCUUGAAUAGAAAGUUUUCCUUAAUAUGUUAUCAAGCCUUCCUCAAGCUUCAAGGGAAAAAAAGAAACCCUCUUCUGAUCCAUUUGUGAAGCUGGAGGUAAGGGGAGAGGCUCAAGCUUAGCAUGAGGAAUGCUGAUUAUACAUAGAAAGAAUUUGCCAGCCAUGAAAGUUGUCAGACACCUGUGUUCUCCGAAUACACCAGGUAAGUCCCUCCCCCUGAGACGGUCAAGUUAAUCUCCAGGCUUCCUUACUGUCCAAAGAGUCUGCUUAGAAACUUCCUUUCCCAGUAUUUGAUGGUCUAAUCCCAGGUUCCUCAGGCAGUGCUCACUCAGUUUCCCACAGGGCCCUGACUCCAGAUAACAUUGGGUUUUGUUUUUGGUUUUGGGGUUUUUUUGGUCUUUUUAGGGCCACAUCCACAGCACAUGGAGGUUCCCAGGCUAGGGGUCUAAUCAGAGCUGUAGCCACCAGCCUACGUCAGAGCCACAGCAAUGCCAGAUCGGAGCCGGGUCUUUGACCUACACCACAGCUUUCGGCAAGGCUGGAUCCUUAACCCACUGAGCCAGGCCAGGGAUCGAACCUGCAACCUCAUGGUUCCUAGUCAGAUUCAUUUCCACUGCCCCACGACGGAACUCCCAUUUUUUUUUUUUUUAAUUGUUUACAGCCAUACCUGCAGAAUAUGGAAACUCCCAGGCCAGGGGUCGAUUUGGAGCUGCAGCUGUCAGCCUAGCACAGUCACAGCAAUACCAGAUCUGAGCUGCGUCUGUGACCUACACCACGGAAGGCCAGAUUCUCAACCCACUGAGAGAGGCCACGGAUGGAACCCACAUCCUCAAAGACACUAUGUCAAGUUCUUAACCUGGUGAGCCACAGUGGGAACUCCUACAAAACAUUUUUUAAAAAUAAAUUUUAAAUUUUAUAGGAGCAUAGGCGACUUACAAUGUUGUGUUAGUUUCAGGUGUACAGCAAACUGAAUCAGUCAUACAAACACAUGUAGAUCCAUUCUUCUUCAGAUUCUUUCCCCAUAUAGGCCAUCACAGAGUAGUGAAUAGAUUUCCCCAAGCUAGGUAGCAGGUUCUUGUUACCGAUUGAUUUGGAUGUAGUAGCGCGUAUAUGCCAAUCCCAACCUCCCAGUCCAUCUGUCACCUCGUGUUUCUGUUUUGGUAACCGUAAAUUUGGCUUCAAAAUCUUCCAGAAAACAUUUUAAAAUCUCAUGUUGAACUGAUAGACCCAUGUAAAUCAACUGUCAUAGGAGAAAUAAAAACCUUAAAAAAAUAAAUAAAAAUUAAAAUGAAAUAAAAUCUCACGUUGACCCCAUCUCCAAGAAACACAACAAAAUUGAACCAAUUUAGCAACAACGAAAAUCUACCAGAUUACUUCUCCAUUUGACGUGGGGACAAUAGCACUGGACUGGGGGGGCCAGAGCUUUUGUGUCUGUUUUAGGCUGAAUUUUGUUCCCCAGAGCUCAUGUGUUGACAUCUUAACCCUCAGGGGCUGGAGAAUGUGACUGUGUUUAGAUAGAGGGUCUUUAUUUUAUUUUGUCUUUUUGCCAUUUCUUGGGCCGCUCCUGCGGCAUAUGGAGGUCCCCAGUCUAGGGGUCUAAUCAGAGCUUUAGCCACUGACAUACACCACAGCCACAGCAACUCGGGAUCCAAGCCACAUGUGCGACCUACACCACAGGCCACAGCAAUGACGGAUCCUUAACCCACUGAGCAAGGCCAGGCAUCGAACCUGCAACCUCAUAGUUCCUAGUCGGAUCUGUAAACCACUGUGCCACGAGGGGAACUCCGAUAGAGGGUCUUUAAAGAGGUAAUUCGGGUAAAAUGAGGACGUGGUGGUGGAUGCUCAUCCAACAUGACUGGUGUCCUAAGAAGAGGAGAUACACACAGACACAGAAAGACCAUGUGAAGCCAGAUCUAUGUGCAAAAGACCAUCUACCAGCAAUGGAGAAAGGCCUCUAAAGAAAUCAACGCUGCCAACACCUUGAUCUUAGACAUCGAGCCUCCAGAACUGUGAAAAAAAUAAAUGUCUGUUGUUUCAGCCACC
This 5870-nucleotide long non-coding RNA is filed under the name Sus scrofa (pig). RNAcentral's name for it is "lncRNA (ENSSSCG00005014296.1)". Lineage: Eukaryota; Metazoa; Chordata; Mammalia; Artiodactyla; Suidae. The record is from RNAcentral.